AGAGAGAGACAUGCGCGCAUAUCAAUAAGCGGAGGAAAAGAAACUAACUAAGGAUUCCCUCAGUAACGGCGAGUGAAGCGGGAAGAGCUCAAAUUUGAAAUCUUAAAGGUUUCCCUUGACGAAUUGUAGUUUAAAGAAGUGUUUUCUGUUGGAGUUUUGGUAAAAGUUCUUUGGAAUAGGACAUCAUAGAGGGUGAGAAUCCCGUAUUUGACCAUUUACUUUCAGCUUUGUGAUACACUUUCAAAGAGUCGGAUUGUUUGGGAAUGCAGUCCAAAAUGGGUGGUAAAUUUCAUCUAAAGCUAAAUAUUGGCGAGAGACCGAUAGCGAACAAGUACCGUGAGGGAAAGAUGAAAAGAACUUUGAAAAGAGAGUUAAACAGUACGUGAAAUUGUCAAAAGGGAAGCGUUUGACACCAGUGUUGUUUUUCUGAAAAUCAAUUAAAGAACUGUUUAUGCUAAGCUGUUUAGACUUUAUCAGCUAUCUGUUUAGUUUUGAGCUUUUCUUUAAUGCACUUUUCAGUUAACAAGUCAACAUCAAUUUCUUUUGCUGUAAAAAAGCUUGAGGAAGGUGGCUUGAGAUUCGUCUUAAGUGUUUAUAGCCUCUUGCCUAUGCAGUCGGAGAGAUUGAGGUCUGCAGCGUAGAUCCUUCGGGGCUAAAUGCAUUUGUGCUAAGUUAUAGCAUUUUAUAGACAACUUGUUGACUAUGAUUUGUCUUGUAGCUUACUCGCUUAUGUUAUUUUACCUACGCUUAGGAUGUUGAUGUGAUACUGCGAGCA
RNAcentral lists this ribosomal RNA (775 nucleotides) under uncultured Neocallimastigales. RNAcentral's name for it is "partial large subunit ribosomal RNA". It matches the Rfam family "Eukaryotic large subunit ribosomal RNA", at positions 23 to 646 of the family's 3401-position model. The record is from RNAcentral. Lineage: Eukaryota; Fungi; Neocallimastigomycota; Neocallimastigomycetes; Neocallimastigales.